Triticum aestivum (bread wheat) is the source of this 115-nucleotide non-coding RNA. Lineage: Eukaryota; Viridiplantae; Streptophyta; Magnoliopsida; Poales; Poaceae. The record is from Rfam.
GAUAUACUCCCUCCGUUCCAAAUUACUCGUCGCAGAAAUGGAUGUAUUUAGAACUAGAAUACAUCUAGAUACAUCCAUAUCCACGACAAGUAAUUCGGAAUGGAGGGAGUAUAUG